Molecule: non-coding RNA, 2616 nt
Organism: Oryctolagus cuniculus (rabbit)
Lineage: Eukaryota; Metazoa; Chordata; Mammalia; Lagomorpha; Leporidae
Source: RefSeq, a predicted model, not a curated record
UUCGGGGCGCGCGCCUGAGUCGGUUGCGCGGUUACCACCUGGAUGGCUGGGGGCCCCGGCGGCGUUGGAGGAGGCGAACCAGGCCGCCGCCUCCUCCGCGGCCCCUUCGGCUUUUCUGCCCCGCAGGCGAUCGGAGCGUCGAGGGGCUCGCCUCGGGCUGGUUCCUGGAGUAUUUCUGCUCCGACGCCCGUGCGUUUCUGCGCUCAGAAAAUUUCUGACAACUUGACGAAGAUGAGAAAACGGUCAGAAAGGCUGUAGCAGUUACGUACUGACACUGGAGGGUUCAAGAUGGCCAUUAACUUGUCUGGCAUGGUUGGGAGCUGACCUAUCAGUAGUACCACCCUUCUGCUUGCGAAUGUUCCUUGUUCCUAGAUAGCCUGGGCUAACGAGCUCUGACAUAUGACCUUACCAUGACACAUUCUUCCACCAAGAUGGAGACCGAAUAAGGACCAUGACCUGUAUGACAAAUUUCGAGCGGCCAAGAGGAACAGAAAGAAAGAAGAAGGAGAAAUCUUCCAGCUGCUGUUUCAAUCCCCAAAUGUCUUCAGUAGUGGGCCAGACCAAAGCCAGGAAUCAGGAACCGCAUCCUGGCCUGCCAUACAGGAGGCAGGCACCCAAGUAACGUGAGCCAUCACAUGCUGCCUCCCUGGGUACACGUGAGAGCAAGAAGCUGGAUCAGAUGCAGAGGACAAAUUUGAACCCAGGGUUCAGUGCACCUGCAGUGUCUGCAGCCGCAGGGUCAGCAGGCCUACCUGGCUGGGAGGCUAUACAGGUAUCUGGUCGACUGCAAACCCAAAUGGACAGGGAAGAACAUGUUGAGGAGGCACCCAACCACACAGGAACCAUAACAGAGAUGUCUGUAUUCUCUAGGUGAGCAUUUGUUGGCUCAGGGACAGCCCUUGAGGCAGGGGACCAGUCUCCCCAUUGUGGGAAGACACUACCCCCCACCUGCCAGAUCCCAGGUUUGUGGACACCCUCAGACCACCUUGGCCCUGCUGUUACUGCAACCUGUGCCAAAGGGGCUUGUGAAUAGCCCAAUGCACCCCUGUGGCAUCCAGAAUCUAAGUGCAGUGGCACACUGCAGUGUGUUUGGGCCCUGCCACUGGACAAAAGCAUGAAAUCUACAGAGCCUCUGGUGGACCAGGAUCUCUGGAGCCAUCAAGAAGCCCUUGACAUUAGCAGCCUCUUUCAGGCCCAGGGUUUAGAUCCAGUGCCCAGAGAUGAUACAUUGAGGGCACAGCAGAGGGUUCUAGAGAAUGGUUGAGCUCAGUCAACCUAUUUCGAGACAGAACAUGUGGCUCACUCAAUGGAAGUCUGAGUGAUGUCUGGGAGAUGGGUGGGUGAGGAUGCAGGGGGCCAUGGAUGACAGUGUCACUCGGGUGACUCUAAAGGAGGCGAGAUAGCCAUCGCCAUCAUAAGUCCAUUGCUUGCUAUCCGGAGUCAUGGCAGGUGCCUCACAGGCAGGAGAUAGGGAAUUCAGUGUGACUUUGCCCAGCCUGCCUUGGGGAUCAUGACCUGAUAGCAGGGGCAGCGGAACCCAGGCAUGACCCAAGGACUAGGGGGCUGGUCUGAGCUGUAAACACUUGCUGGCCACAGGCAUGCUUCAAAGUCUAAUUUUCUGCAGUCCUGCUCCAUUGACACAUGUGCUCUGGGGAAGCCCACCACACUUCCUGUCUUGAGCAGGGUAGGGCAGGUGGCAACAGACAGAAUAUGUGGUUACCUACUUGGAAGAGCCCCUGGGGCUGAAUUGAACACUUUAACCCUGGGAACACUCACCACAGAGGCUGAUGUCCAGGAAGAGUUGUUCCUCUUGCACAGUGACCCAGCUGCUGGCAUAAACCUGGUUGAGGUGGCCUCCAUAUGCAUGACCAUGGUGCUCCACCAGCAGGGUCCCAUCAUGGGCCUAUGUAGGACAUCAGGCUACUCCAGCUGAGUCAGCUCAGGGCCUGACCAGCUAGGGUGGUAAGGCAUGGAAGACACCCAAAUAGGACACUGGUCCUUCCAGCCUUCCCUGGCAGGCAGAGUUCAUCUGUAGCCAGAGGAAUUGUGGUCCAUGUGGUAGUCCCCACUCCCUGACCAGAGCGAGGCUAUGAAAGUGUAAAGACAGUCUGGGACUGAGAUGCAGGGACCGAGAGGUGAGAGGAUGUUCUCAGGAGAAUGGCCCCUUGCCUGGCUGAGGAACUAAGGGUUGUGAUGCCCUCCAUGACCACCCUCCUUAUUGACAGUCAUGAGCCCUGAUAAAGCUGUCAGUGGCACCUGGGGCCGAACUUGGCUGAAAUCCCCCCCCACACACACACACACGCCACUCAAGUGAAUGCAACUACUGAACUGCUUUAGUGCUGAGAUCUUUGGUCAACCUUCUCAUCUGACUCCCCAGGUCUGUUGCUCUGGGGUUCUAAACCCCCACCUCCUUCCCCUUUUCCUGUUAUCCAGGGAAGGAAAGCCCAAAUCCUGACAGGAAAGAAGGAGCAAAGAGUACAGAGGGCUCAGACACUUGGUAUGUAGCUGAUUCAUAGGCCAUUCUGUCUCCCACUUUGGGUGAAGUGAUCUGCCAAGUGGGUCUAUUUGAUUUAGGUAUCACCUUGGGUAGCAAGGCUGAGAGUGUAGCAGACCCAU